This 253-nucleotide ribosomal RNA is filed under the name uncultured bacterium. RNAcentral's name for it is "partial 16S ribosomal RNA". It matches the Rfam family "Bacterial small subunit ribosomal RNA", at positions 524 to 776 of the family's 1533-position model. The record is from RNAcentral.
UACGUAGGUGGCAAGCGUUGUCCGGAUUUACUGGGCGUAAAGAGCGCGCAGGCGGCCAAGUCAGUCGAAUGUGAAAGCCCCCGGCUCAACUGGGGAGGGUCAUUCGAUACUGCUCGGCUCGAAGACAGGAGAGGGAAGUGGAAUUCCCGGUGUAGUGGUGAAAUGCGUAGAUAUUGGGAAGAACACCGGUGGCGAAGGCGGCUCACUGGCUCGUAACUGACGCUCAUGCACGACAGCGUGGGGAUCAAACAGG